This 405-nucleotide ribosomal RNA is filed under the name uncultured bacterium. Its description in RNAcentral is "bacterial SSU rRNA". It matches the Rfam family "Bacterial small subunit ribosomal RNA", at positions 354 to 777 of the family's 1533-position model. The record is from RNAcentral.
GUGGGGGAUAUUGCACAAUGGGCGAAAGCCUGAUGCAGCGACGCCGCGUGAGGGAAGACGGUCUUCGGAUUGUAAACCUCUGUCUUUGGGGAAGAAAAUGACGGUACCCAAAGAGGAAGCUCCGGCUAACUACGUGCCAGCAGCCGCGGUAAUACGUAGGGAGCAAGCGUUGUCCGGAAUUACUGGGUGUAAAGGGAGCGUAGGCGGGAUGGCAAGUAGAAUGUUAAAUCCAUCGGCUCAACCGGUGGCUGCGUUCUAAACUGCCGUUCUUGAGUGAAGUAGAGGCAGGCGGAAUUCCUAGUGUAGCGGUGAAAUGCGUAGAUAUUAGGAGGAACACCAGUGGCGAAGGCGGCCUGCUGGGCUUUAACUGACGCUGAGGCUCGAAAGCGUGGGGAGCAAACAGGA